GAUGAACGCUGGCGGCGUGCCUAAUACAUGCAAGUCGAGCGAGCGGACGAGAAGCUUGCUUCUCUGAUGUUAGCGGCGGACGGGUGAGUAACACGUGGAUAACCUACCUAUAAGACUGGGAUAACUUCGGGAAACCGUAGCUAAUACCGGAUAAUAUUUUGAACCGCAUGGUUCAAAAGUGAAAGACGGUCUUGCUGUCACUUAUAGAUGGAUCCGCGCUGCAUUAGCUAGUUGGUAAGGUAACGGCUUACCAAGGCAACGAUGCAUAGCCGACCUGAGAGGGUGAUCGACCACACUGGAACUGAGACACGGUCCAGACUCCUACGGGAGGCAGCAGUAGGGAAUCUUCCGCAAUGGGCGAAAGCCUGACGGAGCAACGCCGCGUGAGUGAUGAAGGUCUUCGGAUCGUAAAACUCUGUUAUUAGGGAAGAACAUAUGUGUAAGUAACUGUGCACAUCUUGACGGUACCUAAUCAGAAAGCCACGGCUAACUACGUG
Molecule: ribosomal RNA, 497 nt
Filed under: uncultured bacterium
Lineage: Bacteria
Description: partial 16S ribosomal RNA
Rfam family: Bacterial small subunit ribosomal RNA
Source: RNAcentral